RNAcentral lists this ribosomal RNA (450 nucleotides) under uncultured bacterium. RNAcentral's name for it is "bacterial SSU rRNA". It matches the Rfam family "Bacterial small subunit ribosomal RNA", at positions 329 to 797 of the family's 1533-position model. The record is from RNAcentral.
AGCCAGACUCCUACGGGAGGCAGCAGUGGGGGAUAUUGCACAAUGGGGGGAACCCUGAUGCAGCGACGCCGCGUGGGUGAAGGAGUAUUUCGGUAUGUAAAGCCCUAUCGGCAGGGAAGAAGCAAGACGGUACCUGACUAAGAAGCCCCGGCUAACUACGUGCCAGCAGCCGCGGUAAUACGUAGGGGGCGAGCGUUAUCCGGAUUCACUGGGUGUAAAGGGAGCGUAGACGGCCAUGCAAGCCAGGGGUGAAAGGCCGGGGCCCAACCCCGGGACUGCCCUUGGAACUGCAUGGCUGGAGUGCGGGAGGGGCAGGCGGAAUUCCUGGUGUAGCGGUGAAAUGCGUAGAUAUCAGGAGGAACACCGGCGGCGGAGGCGGCCUGCUGGACCGCGACUGACGUUGAGGCUCGAAAGCGUGGGGAGCGAACAGGAUUAGAUACCCCUGUACUA